CACAGGUGCUGCAUGGCUGUCGUCAGCUCGUGUCGUGAGAUGUUGGGUUAAGUCCCGCAACGAGCGCAACCCUUGUCAUUAGUUGCUACAUUCAGUUGGGCACUCUAAUGAGACUGCCGGUGACAAGCCGGAGGAAGGUGGGGAUGACGUCAAGUCCUCAUGGCCCUUAUAGGUGGGGCUACACACGUCAUACAAUGGCUGGUACAAAGGGUUGCCAACCCGCGAGGGGGAGCUAAUCCCAUAAAGCCAGUCGUAGUCCGGAUCGUAGUCUGCAACUCGACUACGUGAAGUCGGAAUCGCUAGUAAUCGUGGAUCAGAAUGUCACGGCGAAUACGUUCCCGGGUCUU
Molecule: ribosomal RNA, 347 nt
Filed under: uncultured Rhodoferax sp.
Lineage: Bacteria; Pseudomonadati; Pseudomonadota; Betaproteobacteria; Burkholderiales; Comamonadaceae
Description: bacterial SSU rRNA
Rfam family: Bacterial small subunit ribosomal RNA
Source: RNAcentral